Molecule: ribosomal RNA, 490 nt
Filed under: uncultured bacterium
Lineage: Bacteria
Description: bacterial SSU rRNA
Rfam family: Bacterial small subunit ribosomal RNA
Source: RNAcentral
GACGAACGCUGGCGGCGUGCUUAACACAUGCAAGUCGAACGGAGCACCCUUGACUGAGGUUUCGGCCAAAUGAUAGGAAUGCUUAGUGGCGGACUGGUGAGUAACGCGUGAGGAACCUGCCUUUCAGAGGGGGACAACAGUUGGAAACGACUGCUAAUACCGCAUGACACAUAAGAAUCGCAUGGUCUUUAUGUCAAAGAUUUAUCGCUGAAAGAUGGCCUCGCGUCUGAUUAGCUAGUUGGUGAGGUAACGGCCCACCAAGGCGACGAUCAGUAGCCGGACUGAGAGGUUGACCGGCCACAUUGGGACUGAGAUACGGCCCAGACUCCUACGGGAGCAGCAGUGGGGAAUAUUGGGCAAUGGGCGCAAGCCUGACCCAGCAACGCCGCGUGAAGGAAGAAGGCUUUCGGGUUGUAAACUUCUUUUAAGUGGGAAGAGCAGAAGACGGUACCACUUGAAUAAGCCACGGCUAACUACGUGCCAGCAGCCG